GGAGAGAUAGCGUAGUCUGGCCUAACGCGCGCGCCUGGAGAGCGCGUUUACCGCAAGGUAACGUGGGUUCGAAUCCCACUCUCUCCGCCA
Molecule: transfer RNA, 90 nt
Filed under: Chloroflexi bacterium ADurb.Bin344
Lineage: Bacteria; Bacillati; Chloroflexota
Also listed under: 1 other name
Description: tRNA-Ser
Rfam family: tRNA
About the family: Transfer RNA (tRNA) molecules are approximately 80 nucleotides in length. Their secondary structure includes four short double-helical elements and three loops (D, anti-codon, and T loops).
Source: RNAcentral